UAAGAUCUAGGGCGGGAGGGGGGAACGUUAGAUAAAUAACCACAACUACCAACUAAAUCAACCACUAAGAACGCGCGCCCGUCGUCCUUCCGUGCUGAUCGGCAAUUAUCACUCAAGGUCGCCUGCAGACGAAGACAUGCACUCGGAAUAUGAUGGCAUGAUGGCAGCAUACUUGUUGGUCCGCAGAGACCUGCUGUAGCCGAGUGGUCAGUUGUCCGACUGUAGGUAUACUCCAAGUAUGAAAAGAUCAUCGUACGCACGAAAAUGUUCAGAAAGCGGCUCCCUCACAACUUGCUGAAAUCGCCUGCUGCUUCUGAAUGAGUCGACGUUAUCAGUCUUGGCUACUCCCGCCAACCAAACUACCUUAAUUCUGUUUUCCUAUUUCUACUAGAUAACUGGUGAUCGACCUGCGCCAUCACCGCGGAAUUAUAUUUUUAAUCUCGUUCCUCCUCCACUUCUUCCGCCGUUCCCAUGUCGUAAACGUCUACAUCAUUCUGAAGGAAUGCCAAAUUGUCAACGAGAAAAAGGAAACUAGAGUAACUGCAUAAACGCAAGCAACCAGAUAAAACUAUGGCGCACGCACUAAGCACCGACGACCGAGCCUUCGGUCUCUGUCUUGCGUCAUCACAAAGCCGAAAAGGAACAAAUGAUAAAGGAUGGGGAGUGAUGGGAGAUAGAGAUAGAAGGAGUUGAUGGUCCGUAAUCGAUGCUAUCAUUUUAAGUCUCAGG
This 729-nucleotide small RNA is filed under the name Cryptococcus neoformans H99. RNAcentral describes it as "Cryptococcus neoformans var. grubii H99 hypothetical RNA". The record is from RNAcentral. Lineage: Eukaryota; Fungi; Basidiomycota; Tremellomycetes; Tremellales; Cryptococcaceae.